UACGAAGGGGGCUAGCGUUGCUCGGAAUCACUGGGCGUAAGCGCACGUAGGCGGCUUCUCAAGUCAGGGGUGAAAUCCUGGAGCUCAACUCCAGAACUGCCUUUGAUACUGAGGGGCUCGAGUCCGGGAGAGGUGAGUGGAACUGCGAGUGUAGAGGUGAAAUUCGUAGAUAUUCGCAAGAACACCAGUGGCGAAGGCGGCUCACUGGCCCGGUACUGACGCUGAGGUGCGAAAGCGUGGGGAGCGAACAGG
Molecule: ribosomal RNA, 252 nt
Filed under: uncultured bacterium
Lineage: Bacteria
Description: partial 16S ribosomal RNA
Rfam family: Bacterial small subunit ribosomal RNA
Source: RNAcentral